Molecule: ribosomal RNA, 506 nt
Filed under: uncultured bacterium
Lineage: Bacteria
Description: bacterial SSU rRNA
Rfam family: Bacterial small subunit ribosomal RNA
Source: RNAcentral
AGAGUUUGAUCCUGGCUCAGGAUGAACGCUGGCGGCGUGCCUAACCCAUGUAAGUCGAGCGAUCCCGUUAGCAAUAAUGGGAGAGCAGCGGAAGGGUGAGUAACACGUAGGAGACCUACCUCAUCGCCGGGAACAACGUCGCGAAAGCGGCGCUAAUACCCAGAAGGCUCAUGGCUUCAGUGCCAUGAGGAGAGUGCCCCCGCAAGGGGGUGCGUGAUGAGAGGGUCCUGCGGCCCAUCAGCUCGUUGGCAGGGUAACGGCCUACCAAGGCAACGACGGGUAGGGGGUCUGAGAGGACGAUCCCCCACACUGGAACUGAAACACGGUCCAGACGCCUACGGGUGGCAGCAGGGAGGAAUAUUGCACAAUGGGCGCAAGCCCGAUGCAGCAACGCCGCGUGAAGGACGAAGGCCUUCGGGUCGUAAACUUCUUUUGAGGGAGACGAGCAAGGACGGUAUCCCUCGAAUCAGCCACGGCUAACUACGUGCCAGCCGCCGCGGUAAUAC